UACGUAGGGUGCGAGCGUUAAUCGGAAUUACUGGGCGUAAAGUGUGCGCAGGCGGCAAAGCAAGUCGAGUGUGAAAGCCCCGGGCUUAACUUGGGAAUUGCGCUCGAAACUACUUUGCUGGAGUGUGGCAGAGGAAGGUGGAAUUCCACGUGUAGCGGUGAAAUGCGCAGAUAUCAGGAAGAACACCCGUGGCGAAGGCGGCUCUCUGGGACGGUACUGACGCUGAGACGCGAAAGCGUGGGGAGCGAACAGG
This 253-nucleotide ribosomal RNA is filed under the name uncultured bacterium. RNAcentral describes it as "partial 16S ribosomal RNA". It matches the Rfam family "Bacterial small subunit ribosomal RNA", at positions 524 to 776 of the family's 1533-position model. The record is from RNAcentral.